This is an RNA transcript of Corylus avellana, 4371 nucleotides long. RefSeq lists it as uncharacterized. Lineage: Eukaryota; Viridiplantae; Streptophyta; Magnoliopsida; Fagales; Betulaceae. The record is from RefSeq and is a predicted model, not a curated record.
UCUCUCUCUCUCUCUCUCUUUCUCUCUCUCUAUAAGCUUGAACCUGAUUUCCGAAGCUCUCCUUCACUUUGUUUCCCAACUGUCUCUCUCUUUCAUUCUCCAAUCUGAUUUCAACAUGUAACAACCCUCUUCUUUCAUCCUUUUCAACGUUCUUCUUCUCUCCCUUGGUUUCUCCCUUUUUGGUAGACAAAACCCCAUGGCGGUGGCGCUUGAGGGCUUCUCGAUCCGACAAUAUGCGGCGAAGAUGAGGAGUGUCGACGUGGUCAAGUGCUGGCCGUUCGGGGAAGACUCGGAGGAGGAUAUGAAGGCCUUGCUUCCGCCGAUCACGGUCGCCAAGUUCCGCUGGUGGUCCCACGAGCUGCAAGCCUUCAAUUCCAAUCAAACCCACAAAGAUAACCAGAAUAUUCAGGGAGAGCGACUAGAAUUUUCAAGGAACGAGAGUGAAUUCGAGAAAUCGGAGCCGGAGGAGGAGAAAUUUGAGAUGGUUUGCCCGGUUUGCCGGGUGUUUACGGCGGCGACCGUGAAUGCCGUGAAUUCCCAUGUUGAUAGCUGCCUCGCUCAGUCGUCGCAGCAUAAGAAGCCCAAGACGACCAAGCCGCCCAAGAAGAGGUCGAUUGCGGAGAUUUUCGCGGUGGCGCCGCAGAUCGAAGCAGUAGAUGUUGAUGAUGAUGAUGAUGAAAAUGUGGCUGAAGAAAGCAGUGGAGGAGAAGACAAGUUUGGUAGUUGCAAGUUCUCGAGUAAGAAGAAUAUAAACAUGAAGAUGAGGAAGAAGAAGAAGAAGAAGAUGAUGAUGAAGAAUAAGAAGAAGAAGAACAAGAAGAAGAGAAGGGUUUUGGAAGAGAAAGGCAUGGCAAUUGUAAGCAAGUUGAAGAAGAAGAAGAAGAAGAAGAAGAAGAAUAAGAAGUUGAAGAAGAAGGAGGGUUUGCAUAAGCUCAAACUGCCACCUCCAGUUGAUUUCGCUAGAAAACUGAAUGGUUCAUCUUGUAAUAAGAGGUUUCCAGAGGACAUCUUGGAUACUGCUUCUAUGCAAGGAAAGAAACCAAAUCUGAAAUGCUUAUCUAUGCAAAAGAAGCUCAAAGUUGUUCAAACAUCGAAAUUAAUUGCUAAGCACCAGAAGCCAGUGUUUCCGGUUCGCAGCAUUCUCAAAAACCAUAAAAAAGUUACUCCUAGGCUGAACUCUGCAAUUUGCAAAUUGAAAUGUAGUCAAGUAAAUCAUUCUGGUAUUCAAAGGCCUGACAGGCAUGUCAGGUUCUCAGGUAAGGAUGACAUACUUGGUCCAAGGAAGAAAAAUAUCUCAGAUGCCUUUGAGCAAGGCAGUGGUGACCAAUUUUCAGAUGCUUUUGCUACUUUAUCAGAGGACCAGUCCACUGAACGUGACAAAGAAGUUUCCCCUAUGGAGGUAGAUGGAACUGAUAAUGAUGUUAUUAUUAGUACAGAUAGUGGAACUGAGGUUCAACCUACAGCCAGGAAGAAACAAUUGCUCAAUACGCAUGAUCAUGUUGAUAUACCAUGUCCUCUGAGGCCACAUGUUACUUUUCAAGACAAAAUAAAGCAUUGUCCAGAAAAAUCAGUUUCUCGAAGUCAGGUUGCAAUUCAUAAUGACAAAAUGCAUAUGUUUAAUCAAGGCCACUCAACUAUGUCAUGUAAACCCGCAUCUGUUGGCCCUCCUAGACUCAUUUCUGCACUUGAAGAAAGGCAUAAUCCUUGUGUAAAUGCUCAAGCAGGUGGUAAUGUUAUCAGAGCUUUCAAUGAGAGUGGAAAGCUGAUUGAUCAUUUUGUAGAUUCUAUCCAUGGCAUUGCUGCAAUCAGUUCAGUGCCAGACACAAGGGUAUUGUCGCAGCCGUCAUCAUCUUGUUUUGUUGUAGAUGAAAAUGCAAACAGGAGGCUGCCAUUUCCGUCUCAAUCUGCCACACAGAAUUUUAGUGGAAGUACAUUGCAUUACCAACCUUUUUGUCAUGUGUCUCCGAGAGAGUUGAUGAAUAGCAUAUGUCAGUCUCCAGAGCGGACGCAAAAAGCAGUUUCCUUCAGAGAAAAUUGCAUGGAUGACGGAUUUUUUGGUUUGCCUCUCAACUCACAGGGUGAGUUAAUCCAGUUUAGUUCAAGUGGGAAGGGUGGGUUUGACCAGCACUGGCUGCCAAGUACUACUGGCUCUUCCAGCAGCUUGCCUGUGCAUAAUCUUGUCCUGCCAAAAAGUACUGGGGAAUAUUUAAGUGUGAAGAAGAGGCAUUUUGUCGAGAGAGAACAUCCCACAGAUCCAUUAAACUUGUUUCCUGUGCAGAAUUAUGUUACAGAGAACCCUAAAGUACAUUUACCAGCUAGGUUCGGUGUCACUGAAGUAGAAGGUACUGGAAGAUCAGAUGUUCAGUGGCUUAAUUCUGAGAGGGGGAGCAACCACUCUGCCCGCCUGCUCGAUUCUGAGCUGAGCCUGUCUGAUACAUCUUUCACUGGAUACAGACAAUAUAACCAGGUGCAGAACCAAACUACUAAUGCGAUUUUUCAUCCUAAAGACAGUUCAGAUAAAAUCUUGCUAAAUUCUAACCAAACAACAAUGCGUUUGAUGGGUAAAGAUGUAGCAGUUGGUAGAAGUUGCAACGAGAUGCAAGGAUUUGAGGAUGGAAAGGUCUGGACUGAUAAGGAGAUCAUAACAGAUGAUUGUCCUACAAGUAGUGCCAUGGAGAAUUCAUCUAUGGAGAGAAAUUUUCUGCAGGAUUGGAUGUUACAACCUGCAUCAGGAAAAUCAAAGGACACUGUAGCUCAGUCAUUAGGAAUUCAGUGCAAUCACAUGUCACGGAGCAGCUUGCUGUCGAAAGCAUCAGAGUCUAGGUUUUCUAACCCAUUCUCCAAUUGGCAAACUAAUGUGGUCCAUCGAAAUGGCAGUCUUACCAUCAACAAAAACCCUAGUGAUAAUGUGCAUUCUUUUGUUCAUUCAUCUGCUUCCCCAGCAAUGUUUGGUGGUGCACCCAGCCUCCAGGAACCCUUUAUAUCUAGAGCUGAAGAUCUAAGAGUCAGUUCUCAGUUACCACUGCUUUCUGGCCCUCACAUUACCUGUCAUCAUAUGCCUUGGAGUCCUGCUGAACUUAAAAACAAGCAGAAUCUACCUCAUGCUGCAAAAUCAGCCUUCAACUUUCCAUUCUUGCACCCUGAUUAUAGAGAGAGUGUUCAACCUUCUUGGAUUCAGAGAUCCUCAAAGAGCCUGCCCCCUUGGUUGUUCCAUGCACAACAGGAUAAACCACUAAUUGCCUCCUCUCAACCUUUUUCUGAUGUGGGUGGUAGGUAUCUUCCCCAUCUUAUCUCCGGAACUAAUUGUUUUCCUUCCCCACUUGUGAAUCAUUUACCAGUUUCUUAUCCUUACAAUCCCAUGAACUCUCAAUCAUACAUCAACAAUUCGCUCUCUUCAGCACCUAUACUUCACCCUCCACCUAUUCCCGCCAUUCCUGGAGUUAAUUCAACUUCUGCAGCCAACAAGGGCUGUCGGAACAGAAUUAAGUUCAAAGAUACUGUGAAAUCAAAAGCUUUUGGUAUCAAAGUGCCUGAUCCUUUUAAGAAAUCCAAGAGGCCUGCAGCUAAAGCAGAUUAUUUAACAAAGCCCACCAGGAUACCAAAUUUAGAAAUGCAAAAAGAGUUAAGUGCUGUGAUGGGGUUAAGGAGAGAAAACUGCGGCAUGGACAUUCAAUGUAAUGCAGGAGUUGUUGAAUUCGAUCCAAGCAGGGAUAAAGCAAUCAUGUUAGAAUGUUGCCCAAAUGAGAAUCAAAAGGAUGUGCUUCAAAGUUCAAGUGGCAUUGAUUCCUCACAAGUGGAUAAUUCGGCAAGAUUGGGUCCUAUUAAACUAAGUGCAGGAGCAAAACACAUCCUGAAACCUAGUCAAGCUACAGAUCAGGAUAACUCUAGGCUAAUCCAUUCAACCCUCCCUUUUGCCAUGGCAACAAAUUGUGGUAGUGUACCAGAAUCUCAGAAGAAGCUAACAAAGAUUUACAGGUUUUAGAAGACUACCGCCCGGCUGAAGAUACAAGGCUAGAGAUCUUCAUGGUUAACUACGUACUCUUGGUCUUGGGUUGCUAAAUUCAAAGAAAGAAUAUUAUCAAUUCCAGGUAUUAGCUCCAACCGGUUGAAUGAUGUAAUAAUGGCUUGGAAUUCUACUCGGCAAAAGAUCAGUUGCAAGAUUAUGUUUUUUGAUGUUUGUUGUUUUCAAUCGUUUUAUUCUCCAGAUGUAUUAGUAAUGGUGGUUCUAACGCUUCUGUAAUGACUUACGUACUGUGUAACAUGCUUUUUUUUUUUUUUGUAUUUUAGUUUUUCUCUAAAAAAAGAAAAUUAGCUCUCUGUUCCUGAAAAUAUUGUAGUGAUAAUUAUUUCUUUGAAUGUGGAUUUUGUGAA